Molecule: long non-coding RNA, 2022 nt
Organism: Passer domesticus (house sparrow)
Lineage: Eukaryota; Metazoa; Chordata; Aves; Passeriformes; Passeridae
Exons: 3
Source: RefSeq, a predicted model, not a curated record
AAGUGCUGUCCAAAGGCUCCUGCAGCUCUGGCAGCCUGGGGGCCGUGCCCAUUCCCUGGGGAAUGCCAGCCCCAGCACCCUCUGGGGAAGAACCUUUUGCUGAUAUCCAACCUGAACCUCUCCUGACACAAUUUCAGGUCAUUCCAAAUCCCUGGUCACCACAGAGCGAUCAGUGGCUGCUCCUCCUCUUCCACUCAGGAGGAAGCUGUAGAUCCCUCGUCCCCUACAGAUGAACUGCCCGAGUGCCCUCAGGCGCUGCUCACACAGCUUCCCCUCACGGCCCUCCGCCAUCUUUGUGUCCCUCCUUUGGAUAGUCUCUAAUAGUUUAAUAUUCUUUUUUAUAUUUUAUAUUUGGCACCCAAAACUUCACAGAGUACUCAAGGUGUCAGUCCUGUUACAAGCAAAACUUUUCCUUCCAUCGGAAACUCCCAGGAUGAAGGCUUUGCUCCAGACACACAAUGGGUUUUGGGGAGGAAUCUUCUCUCUCCAGCACAAGCUCAACACAAAGAAAGAAAGAAAGAAAGAAAGAAAGAAAGAAAGAAAGAAAGAAAGAAAGAAAGAAAGAAAGAAAGAAAAGAAAGAAAGAAAGAAAGAAAGAAAGAAAACCACAUCCCACCUUAAAAAUGAAAACCCAAAGGCCCUGUGAUUGUAUAAUCAACAUCACUGCACAGCUUCCAGCACUUGCACUCUGCUAUUCAGCCUUGAUCCCAUGUGGUCCUACCGAAGACCUACCAGAUUUUGACUGAAGUAGUUAAAAUUUCAUGUGUGGCUAAAUAUAACCUGCCAGUCAGGAAAUGCUGCAUGGAUGGAACCUUCCAGCAGGGCAGGAGCAGGCAUGGAGCUGGACUAGGUAACCCAAGCGCAUCCAAAACAUUUUACACCAGACUGGAGUCAACUCUGGUCGUGUCUGACAGCUCCUGGGGCUGCCUCUGCAGAGAGCAGGAAAUGGUUUCUGUUCACGCCAUCUCCAUGUUGUGUUUUUGAUCUAAAUCUCAUCCAGGAGAACUUUGAUAGUUCCUAAUUCUGGCUGUAAAUAUUUUGGCUGCAGCAGAACAAGCUCUGGGUUUGAACAGGCUUCAACAAUUUUUGGUUGUUUCAAGUUUUCACCUCCCCAAAUAUUAUUCUAAGGGAUUUGUCUCUGAGUCUCUGCAGGGAAUGAUCCCUAGUUCUGAGGUAGCCCUUUGUGUAGCAUAAACUGUUCUUCAGUUUAAUAUUUCAUAGAGUUACAAACUGUUAGAAGUUAUUCCAGGAUUGUUCCUCUGCUUCUUGUCCCCUUGCCCUUAAAACUUGUUGGAAUUGUCAGAAUGGUACUAAAGAAAAUUGUGCCUUUAAGAAAUGUUCUUCUGUCAGUUUGUUUUAUAUUUUAGGCCAAUCUCUCCAGAAUCCUUACCUAACCUUUACAGUGCUGGAGAAAGGGGAGGGGAAAAAAAGGUUGCUAGGAUACUUGCAAAAAGGCAAAUUAGCUGCACUAGAAAUAAAACAAAAGGAUGAAAAAUCUCUAACCUUUUGAGUUAAACACCCAGUUCCAGCCACUGCCAAAAUUUCAUGGUCCUUCUUUUUGAGACAAAGCAAUGCAGAAUGUCACAGAGCCGCAAUUUCACAGGCAUAUGGGAUUUUAAAGCAUUGCCUCACUGCAUUAAGGUUAAGAUAUGACAAACUCUAUGGUAAGUUUCUCCUGCUGUUGGCAGAAAAUUUGAUAAUUAUUUAUAAAUUUAUAUAUAUUUCUAUUUCUAUCCAUGUUUGGAAGUGGAACUUCAGAAUUUUAGAUAUUCCAUAACACACUGAGCUCAGCUGAGCAAAGCUGAGUCCCUAAAACCAGGUAUGUAAGACUUCAAUCAAAGACUUACUUUUGAACAGAGCUGUGGAGUCCUUGUUUUAUAUCACUUUAGUUCUACUGAACGUUUCUUCAUUUAUAGCUUUGGCAGCAAAAAAAUCCACAAGAAAAGAAAAGAUGGAAAUUCUUUCCCUUCACUAAAAUAUGCACCACUGAUUGAAACACUGACAAGAAAUCAACCCUUGCAU